UACAGAGGUCCCGAGCGUUGUUCGGAUUCACUGGGCGUAAAGGGUGCGUAGGCGGUUCUGAAAGUCUGAUGCGAAAUCUCCAGGCCCAACCUGGAAACUGCAUUAGAAACUACAGGGCUAGAGGCUUGGAGGGGGAACUGGAAUUCUCGGUGUAGCAGUGAAAUGCGUAGAGAUCGAGAGGAACACCAGUGGCGAAGGCGAGUUCCUGGACAAGUCCUGACGCUGAGGCACGAAAGCCAGGGGAGCAAACAGG
Molecule: ribosomal RNA, 253 nt
Filed under: uncultured bacterium
Lineage: Bacteria
Description: partial 16S ribosomal RNA
Rfam family: Bacterial small subunit ribosomal RNA
Source: RNAcentral